GAAAACAGUGACCAGAGGGAUGACAUGGAGCAUGGAUGGGAAGUUGUUGACUCAAAUGACUCGGCUUCUCAGCACCAAGAGGAACUUCCUCCUCCUCCUCUGCCUCCCGGGUGGGAAGAAAAAGUGGACAAUUUAGGCCGAACUUACUAUGUCAACCACAACAACCGGACCACUCAGUGGCACCGACCAAGCCUGAUGGACGUGUCCUCGGAGUCGGACAAUAACAUCAGACAGAUCAACCAGGAGGCAGCACACCGGCGCUUCCGCUCCCGCAGGCACAUCAGCGAAGACUUGGAGCCCGAGCCCUCGGAGGGCGGAGAUGUCCCUGAGCCUUGGGAGACCAUUUCAGAGGAAGUGAAUAUCGCUGGAGACUCUCUCGGUCUGGCUCUGCCCCCACCACCGGCCUCCCCAGGAUCUCGGACCAGCCCUCAGGAGCUCUCAGAGGAACUAAGCAGAAGGCUUCAGAUCACUCCAGACUCCAAUGGGGAACAGUUCAGCUCUUUGAUUCAAAGAGAACCCUCCUCAAGGUUGAGGUCAUGCAGUGUCACCGACGCAGUUGCAGAACAGGGCCAUCUACCACCGGUAACCCAUGCUAAUUUCCAGUCAUCAAUUGACUUUUUGGGCUUUCAUUUACAAUCAUCUGGGCUGCUGCACAAAGAGUUUUUCCUGUGUAAAUUUAUUUACCAUAUAAAUGAGAUGUUUUUAAAUUU
RNAcentral lists this small RNA (710 nucleotides) under Pan troglodytes (chimpanzee). RNAcentral's name for it is "retained intron". The record is from RNAcentral. Lineage: Eukaryota; Metazoa; Chordata; Mammalia; Primates; Hominidae.